GAGUUUGAUCCUGGCUCAGGACGAACGCUGGCGGCAUGCCUAAUACAUGCAAGUCGAGCGAACAGAUGAAGUGCUUGCACUUCUGACGUUAGCGGCUAACGGGUGAGUAACACGUAAGGAAUCUACCUAUAAGCGGGGGAUAACAUUCGGAAACGGGUGCUAAUACCGCAUAAUAUCUUCUUCCGCAUGGAAGAAGAUUGAAAGACGGCUCUGCUGUCACUUAUAGAUGACCUUGCGGUGCAUUAGUUAGUUGGUGGGGUAACGGCCUACCAAGACGAUGAUGCAUAGCCGACCUGAGAGGGUGAUCGGCCACAUUGGGACUGAGACACGGCCCAAACUCCUACGGGAGGCAGCAGUAGGGAAUCUUCCGCAAUGGGCGAAAGCCUGACGGAGCAAUGCCGCGUGAGUGAAGAAGGCCUUCGGGUCGUAAAACUCUGUUAUAAGAGAAGAACAAAUUGUAGAGUAACUGCUACAGUCUUGACGGUAUCUUAUCAGAAAGCCACGGCUAACUACGUGCCAGCAGCCGCGGUAAUACGUAGGUGGCAAGCGUUGUCCGGAUUUAUUGGGCGUAAAGGGAGCGCAGGUGGUUUCUUAAGUCUGAUGUGAAAGCCCACGGCUUAACCGUGGAGGGUCAUUGGAAACUGGGAAACUUGAGUACAGAAGAGGAAUGUGGAACUCCAUGUGUAGCGGUGGAAUGCGUAGAUAUAUGGAAGAACACCAGUGGCGAAGGCGACAUUCUGGUCUGUUACUGACACUGAGGCUCGAAAGCGUGGGGAGCAAACAGGAUUAGAUACCCUGGUAGUCCACGCCGUAAACGAUGAGUGCUAGGUGUUGGAGGGUUUCCGCCCUUC
RNAcentral lists this ribosomal RNA (851 nucleotides) under Aerococcus viridans. Its description in RNAcentral is "bacterial SSU rRNA". It matches the Rfam family "Bacterial small subunit ribosomal RNA", at positions 9 to 841 of the family's 1533-position model. The record is from RNAcentral. Lineage: Bacteria; Bacillati; Bacillota; Bacilli; Lactobacillales; Aerococcaceae.